Long non-coding RNA from Prunus dulcis (almond), 465 nucleotides. RefSeq lists it as uncharacterized. The record is from RefSeq and is a predicted model, not a curated record. The transcript is spliced from 3 exons. Lineage: Eukaryota; Viridiplantae; Streptophyta; Magnoliopsida; Rosales; Rosaceae.
AAUCGAGGUCGUCACGAGAAAACUGAAGACAAAGCUGGCGACUCUGCCUAAGCGAGGUCCUCAACUCUUCUCUCUGCUUGCCCAAAACUGAUAUGCAGAGAGGUAAUCGUUGCGAAAUUGAUGAUGGGUCCAGCCUCCAUGAUGUAGUGGUCACCAAAUUGAGUGGAAUUUAGUUUGAUUUGUUGGAAUUGUGUGAACGACGACAUUUGAGUUGGUGGAGAAAGGAAGUGUAAAGAGGAUGCGUUGAAAAUUUGGAAACAUCAAGGGAUUCUUUUGGCAGAGGAGUUGAAGGGUUAGAAGCAGUUAGGUGCACAAAUGGCAAGGAAGGUGCACAUCACCGCAUUGGUUACUGAAAAGGAGUAUGGAUACAUGUGAAAAAACAAAUAAAGGAAAUUUGUACUGGAUAAUUUGUCUUUGUGCCAAAAUCAUGAGUUGCUUAGGUGAAAUACAAAUCUGUUUUUAUUA